RNAcentral lists this ribosomal RNA (802 nucleotides) under uncultured bacterium. RNAcentral's name for it is "bacterial SSU rRNA". It matches the Rfam family "Bacterial small subunit ribosomal RNA", at positions 8 to 796 of the family's 1533-position model. The record is from RNAcentral.
AGAGUUUGAUCAUGGCUCAGGACAAACGCUGGCGGCGUGCCUAACACAUGCAAGUCGAGCGCGAAAGGGACCUUCGGGUCCCCUGAAAGCGGCGAACGGGUGAGUAACAAGUGGGCAACCUGCCUCAAGGACUGGGAUAACUCCGGGAAACCGGGGCUAAUACCGGGCGAUGUCGUCUGGCGCAAGCCGGCCGACCAAAUGGUAGCUUCGGCCUCCGCCUUGAGAUGGGCCCGCUUCCUAUCAGCUUGUUAGUGAGGUAACGGCUCACCAAGGCUACGACGGGUAGCUGGUCUGAGAGGAUGAUCAGCCACACUGGGACUGAGAUACGGCCCAGACUCCUACGGGAGGCAGCAGUGGGGAAUUUUGCGCAAUGGGCGAAAGCCUGACGCAGCAACGCCGCGUGAGCGAAGAAGGCCUUCGGGUUGUAAAGCUCUGUCAGGGGGAAAGAAGGCACCUGGGUUAAUAGCCCAAGGGCUGACGGUACCCCCAAAGGAAGCCACGGCUAACUACGUGCCAGCAGCCGCGGUAAUACGUAGGUGGCGAGCGUUGUCCGGAAUCAUUGGGCGUAAAGAGCGCGUAGGUGGCUUGUCAGGUCUGAUGUGAAAUCCUGGGGCUCAACUCCAGAACUGCAUCGGAAACCGGCUUGCUAGAGUCUGGGAGAGGAGAGUGGAAUUCCUGGUGUAGCGGUGAAAUGCGUAGAUAUCAGGAGGAACACCGGUAGCGAAGGCGGCUCUCUGGAACAGUACUGACGCUGAGGCGCGAAAGCUAGGGGAGCGAACAGGAUUAGAUACCCUAGUAGUCC